RNAcentral lists this ribosomal RNA (253 nucleotides) under uncultured bacterium. Its description in RNAcentral is "partial 16S ribosomal RNA". It matches the Rfam family "Bacterial small subunit ribosomal RNA", at positions 524 to 776 of the family's 1533-position model. The record is from RNAcentral.
UACAGAGGUCUCAAGCGUUGUUCGGAUUCAUUGGGCGUAAAGGGGGCGUAGGCGGCGCGGUAAGUCGGGUGUGAAAUCUCGGAGCUUAACUCCGAAACUGCAUUCGAUACUGCCGUGCUUGAGGACUGGAGAGGAGACUGGAAUUUACGGUGUAGCGGUGAAAUGCGUAGAUAUCGUAAGGAAGACCAGUGGCGAAGGCGGGUCUCUGGACAGUUCCUGACGCUGAGGCACGAAGGCCAGGGGAGCAAACGGG